AUACGGAGGAUCCGAGCGUUAUCCGGAUUUAUUGGGUUUAAAGGGUGCGUAGGCGGGAGAUUAAGUCAGUGGUGAAAGUUUGCAGCUUAACUGUAAAAUUGCCAUUGAAACUGAUUUUCUUGAGUGUAAAUAAGGUAGGCGGAAUGUGUUGUGUAGCGGUGAAAUGCAUAGAUAUAACACAGAACCCCGAUUGCGAAGGCAGCUUACCGGGCUACAACUGACGCUGAGGCACGAAAGCGUGGGGAUCAAACAGGAUUAGAUACCCUGGUAGUCCACGCAGUAAACGAUGAAUACUAACUGUUUGCGAUAUACAGUAAGCGGUACAGCGAAAGCGUUAAGUAUUCCACCUGGGGAGUACGUUCGCAAGAAUGAA
This 373-nucleotide ribosomal RNA is filed under the name uncultured bacterium. RNAcentral describes it as "bacterial SSU rRNA". It matches the Rfam family "Bacterial small subunit ribosomal RNA", at positions 523 to 898 of the family's 1533-position model. The record is from RNAcentral.